GCGGCAGGCUUAACACAUGCAAGUCGAGCGGGCAUCUUCGGAUGUCAGCGGCAGACGGGUGAGUAACACGUGGGAACGUACCCUUCGGUUCGGAAUAACGCUGGGAAACUAGCGCUAAUACCGGAUACGCCCUUUUGGGGAAAGGUUUACUGCCGAAGGAUCGGCCCGCGUCUGAUUAGCUAGUUGGUGGGGUAACGGCCUACCAAGGCGACGAUCAGUAGCUGGUCUGAGAGGAUGAUCAGCCACACUGGGACUGAGACACGGCCCAGACUCCUACGGGAGGCAGCAGUGGGGAAUAUUGGACAAUGGGCGCAAGCCUGAUCCAGCCAUGCCGCGUGAGUGAUGAAGGCCUUAGGG
Molecule: ribosomal RNA, 357 nt
Filed under: Methylobacterium sp. oral taxon B53
Lineage: Bacteria; Pseudomonadati; Pseudomonadota; Alphaproteobacteria; Hyphomicrobiales; Methylobacteriaceae
Description: bacterial SSU rRNA
Rfam family: Bacterial small subunit ribosomal RNA
Source: RNAcentral